UGACUAAUCAUCAAUAGAUUGAUUUUCUUUAGGACGGACUUGUUUGAUCUUGCAGUCCAAGGGACUCUCAAGAGUCUUCUCUAAUAUCACAGUUCAAAAGCAUCAGUUCUUCGCUGCUCAGCAUUCUUUGUGGUGCAACUCUCA
This is a long non-coding RNA of Cervus elaphus (red deer), 144 nucleotides long. RefSeq lists it as uncharacterized. NCBI's taxonomy places the organism in Eukaryota, Metazoa, Chordata, Mammalia, Artiodactyla, Cervidae. The transcript has 3 exons. The record is from RefSeq and is a predicted model, not a curated record.